RNAcentral lists this ribosomal RNA (472 nucleotides) under uncultured bacterium. Its description in RNAcentral is "bacterial SSU rRNA". It matches the Rfam family "Bacterial small subunit ribosomal RNA", at positions 355 to 825 of the family's 1533-position model. The record is from RNAcentral.
UGGGGAAUAUUGGACAAUGGGCGAAAGCCUGAUCCAGCCAUGCCGCGUGUGUGAAGAAGGUCUUCGGAUUGUAAAGCACUUUAAGUUGGGAGGAAGGGUUGUAGAUUAAUACUCUGCAAUUUUGACGUUACCGACAGAAUAAGCACCGGCUAACUCUGUGCCAGCAGCCGCGGUAAUACAGAGGGUGCAAGCGUUAAUCGGAAUUACUGGGCGUAAAGCGCGCGUAGGUGGUUAGUUAAGUUGGAUGUGAAAUCCCCGGGCUCAACCUGGGAACUGCAUUCAAAACUGGCAAGCUAGAGUACGGUAGAGGGUGGUGGAAUUUCCUGUGUAGCGGUGAAAUGCGUAGAUAUAGGAAGGAACACCAGUGGCGAAGGCGACCACCUGGACUGAUACUGACACUGAGGUGCGAAAGCGUGGGGAGCAAACAGGAUUAGAUACCCAUGUAGUCCCUGAGCGGGCUGGCAAGGCGCAU